CGAACGGGUGAGUAAUGCAUCGGAAUGUACCGUGUAAUGGGGGAUAGCUCGGCGAAAGCCGGAUUAAUACCGCAUACGCCCUGAGGGGGAAAGUGGGGGACCGUAAGGCCUCACGUUAUACGAGCAGCCGAUGUCUGAUUAGCUAGUUGGUGGGGUAAAGGCUCACCAAGGCGACGAUCAGUAGCGGGUCUGAGAGGAUGAUCCGCCACACUGGGACUGAGACACGGCCCAGACUCCUACGGGAGGCAGCAGUGGGGAAUUUUGGACAAUGGGCGCAAGCCUGAUCCAGCCAUGCCGCGUGUCUGAAGAAGGCCUUCGGGUUGUAAAGGACUUUUGUCCGGGAGCAAAUCCCAGUGGUUAAUACCUACUGGGGCUGAGAGUAC
RNAcentral lists this ribosomal RNA (383 nucleotides) under Chromobacterium sp. 1. Its description in RNAcentral is "bacterial SSU rRNA". It matches the Rfam family "Bacterial small subunit ribosomal RNA", at positions 99 to 478 of the family's 1533-position model. Lineage: Bacteria; Pseudomonadati; Pseudomonadota; Betaproteobacteria; Neisseriales; Chromobacteriaceae. The record is from RNAcentral.